UCGCUUUGGCAGCAAAUAUACUAAAAUUGGAACGAUACAGAGAAGAUUAGCAUGGCCCCUGUGCA
RNAcentral lists this small nuclear RNA (65 nucleotides) under Capra hircus (goat). The record is from RNAcentral. Lineage: Eukaryota; Metazoa; Chordata; Mammalia; Artiodactyla; Bovidae.